This is a non-coding RNA of Apaloderma vittatum (bar-tailed trogon), 74 nucleotides long. Lineage: Eukaryota; Metazoa; Chordata; Aves; Trogoniformes; Trogonidae. The record is from Rfam.
GGCCAGUUAGCUCACUCGGUUGGAGCGUGGUGCUGAUAACACCACGGUCACGGGUUCAAUCCCCAUUCGGUCCC